GAUGAACGCUGGCGGCGUGCCUAAUACAUGCAAGUCGAGCGAACAGACGAGGAUCUUGCUCCUCUGACGUUUGCGGCGGACGGGUGAGUAACACGUGGAUAACCUACCUAUAAGACUGGGAUAACUUCGGGAAACCGGAGCUAAUACCGGAUAAUAUAUUGAACCGCAUGGUUCAAUAGUGAAUGACGGUUUUGCUGUCACUUAUAGAUGGAUCCGCGCCGCAUUAGCUAGUUGGUAAGGUAACGGCUUACCAAGGCAACGAUGCGUAGCCGACCUGAGAGGGGGAUCGGCCACACUGGAACUGAGACACGGACCAGACUACUACGGGAGGCAGCAGUAGGGAAUCUUCCGCAAUGGGCGAAAGCCUGACGGAGCAACGCCGCGUGAGUGAUGAAGGUCUUCGGAUCGUUAAACUCUGUUAUUAGGGAAGAACAAAUGUGUAAGUAACUAUGCACGUCUUGACGGUACCUAAUCAGAAAGCAACGGCUAACUACGUG
RNAcentral lists this ribosomal RNA (497 nucleotides) under uncultured bacterium. Its description in RNAcentral is "partial 16S ribosomal RNA". It matches the Rfam family "Bacterial small subunit ribosomal RNA", at positions 28 to 507 of the family's 1533-position model. The record is from RNAcentral.